Molecule: ribosomal RNA, 506 nt
Filed under: uncultured bacterium
Lineage: Bacteria
Description: partial 16S ribosomal RNA
Rfam family: Bacterial small subunit ribosomal RNA
Source: RNAcentral
AUUGAACGCUGGCGGCAGGCCUAACACAUGCAAGUCGAACGGCAGCACAGAAGAGCUUGCUCUUUGGGUGGCGAGUAGCGGACGGGUGAGUAAUGUCUGGGAAACUGCCCGAUGGAGGGGGAUAACUACUGGAAACGGUAGCUAAUACCGCAUAACGUCGCAAGACCAAAGUGGGGGACCUUCGGGCCUCACACCAUCGGAUGUGCCCAGAUGGGAUUAGCUAGUAGGUGGGGUAAUGGCUCGCCUAGGCGACGAUCCCUAGCUGGUCUGAGAGGAUGACCAGCCACACGGGAGCUGAGACACGGUCCAGCCUCCUACGGGAGGCAGCAGUGGGGAAUAUUGCACAAUGGGCGCAAGCCUGAUGCAGCCAUGCCGCGUGUAUGAAGAAGGCUUUCGGGUUGUAAAGUACUUUCAGCGGGGAGGAAGGCGGUGAGGUUAAUAACCUCGCCGAUUGACGUUACCCGCAGAAGAAGCACCGGCUAACUCCGUGCCAGCAGCCGCCGUAA